Molecule: ribosomal RNA, 1419 nt
Filed under: Pseudonocardia petroleophila
Lineage: Bacteria; Bacillati; Actinomycetota; Actinomycetes; Pseudonocardiales; Pseudonocardiaceae
Description: partial 16S rRNA
Rfam family: Bacterial small subunit ribosomal RNA
Source: RNAcentral
UUGUUGGAGAGUUUNAUCCUGGCUCAGGACGAACGCUGGCGGCGUGCUUAACACAUGCAAGUCGAGCGGUAAGNNUGGGUAACCUNCCCUUAGCUUUGGGAUAACCCCGGGAAACUNGGUCUAAUACCGGAUAUGACCUUCCAUUGCAUNGUNGUUGGUGGAAAGUUUUUUCGGCUGGGGAUGGCUNGCGGCCUAUCAGCUNGUUGGUGGGGUNAUGGCCUACCAAGGCGACGACGGGUAGCCGGCCUGAGAGGGUGACCGGCCACACUGGGACUGAGACACGGCCNAGACUCCUACGGGAGGCAGCAGUGGGGAAUAUUGCGCAAUGGGCGAAAGCCUNACGCAGCGACGCCGCGUGGGGGAUGACGGCCUUCGGGUUGUAAACCUCUUUCGACCUUGACGAAGGCUUCGGGUUGACGGUAGGNNNAGAAGAAGCACCGGCCAACUACGUGCCAGCAGCCGCGGUAAUACGUAGGGUGCGAGCGUUGUCCGGAAUUAUUGGGCGUAAAGAGCUCGUAGGCGGUCUGUCGCGUCGGUCGUGAAAACUUGGGGCUNAACCCUGAGCUUGCGGUCGAUACGGGCAUGACUUGAGUUCGGCAGGGGAGACUGGAAUUCCUNGUGUAGCGGUGAAAUGCGCAGAUAUCAGGAGGAACACCGGUNGCGAAGGCGGGNCUCUNGGCCGAUACUGACGCUGAGGAGCGAAAGCGUGGGGAGCGAACAGGAUUAGAUACCCUGGUAGUCCACGCCGUAAACGGUGGGCGCUAGGUGUGGGGGCAUUCCACGGUCUCUGUGCCGCAGCUAACGCAUUAAGCGCCCNGCCUGGGGAGUACGGCCGCAAGGCUAAAACUCAAAGGAAUUGACGGGGGCCNGCACAAGCGGCGGAGCAUGUGGAUUAAUUCGAUGCAACGCGAAGAACCUUACCUGGGUUUGACAUGCACCAGACAUCCCUAGAGAUAGGGCUUCCCUNGUNGUGUGUGCAGGUGGNGCAUGGCUGUCGUCAGCUCGUGUCGUGAGAUGUUGGGUUAAGUCCCGCAACGAGCGCAACCCUNGUUCCAUGUUGCCAGCGGGUUAUGCCGGGNACUCAUGGGAGACUGCCGGGGUUAACUCGGAGGAAGGUGGGGAUGACGUCAAGUCAUCAUGCCCCUUAUGUCCAGGGCUUCACACAUGCUACAAUGGCCAGUACAGAGGGCUGCGAGACCGUGAGGUNGAGCGAAUCCCUAAAAGCUAGUCUCAGUUCGGAUUGGGGUCUGCAACUCGACCCCAUGAAGUAGGAGUCGCUAGUAAUCGCAGAUCAGCAACGCUGCGGUGAAUACGUUCCCGGGCCUUGUACACACCGCCCGUCAAGUCACGAAAGUUGGUAACACCCGAAGCCGACGGCCUAACCCCGUGGACGGAGUNGUCGAAGGUGGACUGGCGACC